UACGUAGGGUGCAAGCGUUAAUCGGAAUUACUGGGCGUAAAGCGUGCGCAGGCGGUAAUGUAAGACAGUUGUGAAAUCCCCGGGCUCAACCUGGGAACUGCAUCUGUGACUGCAUUGCUGGAGUACGGCAGAGGGGGAUGGAAUUCCGCGUGUAGCAGUGAAAUGCGUAGAUAAGCGGAGGAACACCGAUGGCGAAGGCAAUCCCCUGGGCCUGUUCUGACGCUCAUGCGCGAAAGCGUGGGGAGCACACAGC
RNAcentral lists this ribosomal RNA (253 nucleotides) under uncultured bacterium. Its description in RNAcentral is "partial 16S ribosomal RNA". It matches the Rfam family "Bacterial small subunit ribosomal RNA", at positions 524 to 776 of the family's 1533-position model. The record is from RNAcentral.